CUGGUGAAGAAAGACAGUGGGUGGUUGACCUUCCUUAAGGAGACCCCCAAGUUCUAGUUUGGCAACAUAGUGGUGGAGAUCCUCUUGCUGCACAGUGUUGGUGUCUAUGUGGCUUAAUAGUAUGCUGGACCACCUAAGGUGCAGCAAGGCAUCAAAGACUACUCCAACUGGACUACCAUCCUGAAAGGGGUACCUCAAUGGCAAAUUUGUGGGACACUGUGACAUCCUUUUGAAGAUGCACCAGAAUAAAGACUCAAGAGAAGAAUUGAAAAACUGGGGAUUGGCUCUUUCCUGAUAAAUGAGAAAAAGACCAAGACAU
Molecule: long non-coding RNA, 319 nt
Filed under: Mus musculus (house mouse)
Lineage: Eukaryota; Metazoa; Chordata; Mammalia; Rodentia; Muridae
Description: long non-coding RNA chrX:103680576-103680895
Source: RNAcentral